UACGAAGGGGGCAAGCGUUGUUCGGAUUUACUGGGCGUAAAGGGCGCGUAGGCGGCCACCGCAAGUCGACUGUGAAAUCUCCGGGCUUAACCCGGAACGGUCAGCCGAUACUGCGGGGCUAGAGUGCAGAAGGGGCAACUGGAAUUCUCGGUGUAGCGGUGAAAUGCGUAGAUAUCGAGAGGAACACCUGCGGCGAAGGCGGGUUGCUGGGCUGACACUGACGCUGAUGCGCGAAAGCUAGGGGAGCGAACGGGAUUAGAAACCCUAGAGUCC
This 273-nucleotide ribosomal RNA is filed under the name uncultured bacterium. Its description in RNAcentral is "partial 16S ribosomal RNA". It matches the Rfam family "Bacterial small subunit ribosomal RNA", at positions 524 to 796 of the family's 1533-position model. The record is from RNAcentral.